This 360-nucleotide ribosomal RNA is filed under the name Ochrobactrum sp. SKA2. RNAcentral describes it as "bacterial SSU rRNA". It matches the Rfam family "Bacterial small subunit ribosomal RNA", at positions 60 to 439 of the family's 1533-position model. The record is from RNAcentral. Lineage: Bacteria; Pseudomonadati; Pseudomonadota; Alphaproteobacteria; Hyphomicrobiales; Brucellaceae.
GGUCAAAGUUUCGAAGCGGCCCCCGCAAGGGGAGCGGCAGACGGGUGAGUAACGCGUGGGAACGUACCUUUUGCUACGGAAUAACUCAGGGAAACUUGUGCUAAUACCGUAUGUGCCCUUCGGGGGAAAGAUUUAUCGGCAAAGGAUCGGCCCGCGUUGGAUUAGCUAGUUGGUGAGGUAAAGGCUCACCAAGGCGACGAUCCAUAGCUGGUCUGAGAGGAUGAUCAGCCACACUGGGACUGAGACACGGCCCAGACUCCUACGGGAGGCAGCAGUGGGGAAUAUUGGACAAUGGGCGCAAGCCUGAUCCAGCCAUGCCGCGUGAGUGAUGAAGGCCCUAGGGUUGUAAAGGUCUUUCAC